This 306-nucleotide ribosomal RNA is filed under the name Triticum aestivum (bread wheat). Its description in RNAcentral is "partial small subunit ribosomal RNA". The record is from RNAcentral. Lineage: Eukaryota; Viridiplantae; Streptophyta; Magnoliopsida; Poales; Poaceae.
AUGGAGAAGCAUGACCGCUAUGUACUAUAUGUGCUGGACAAAUACAAAUACAAAGUUCACAUUAUUUAUCCUCGAGAAACGACUCACGAGGAAUUUGAGAAAGAAAAGAUAGACAUCGGAAAAUUGCAUCCAAAAGAAGCAUCUCGAGUUCUUCAGGAAAAUGAAGAUGCUAAAGAAGAAAGGGAAAGACAGUUUCAAGAAUAUCAUGUUCAUAAGUCGGUACCUAGGUUUAAAGAAGUCUUCAACAUCAUACUAGGACAAACAAUGAAUGCCAAGGGUACAAGAUGGCAGAUUCAUACCGUGUAA